Molecule: ribosomal RNA, 274 nt
Filed under: uncultured bacterium
Lineage: Bacteria
Description: partial 16S ribosomal RNA
Rfam family: Bacterial small subunit ribosomal RNA
Source: RNAcentral
AUACGAAGGGGGCUAGCGCUGUUCGGAAUUACUGGGCGUAAAGCGCGCGUACGCGGAUUGGUCAGUUAGGGGUGAAAUCCCAGGGCUUAACCCUGGAACUGCCUCUAAUACUGCCAGUCUUGAGUUCGGGAGAGGUGAGUGGAAUUCCUAGUGUAGAGGUGAAAUUCGUAGAUAUUAGGAAGAACACCAGUGGCGAAGGCGGCUCACGGGCCCGAUACUGACGCUGAGGCGCGAAAGCGUGGGGAGCAAACAGGAUUAGAAACCCUAGUAGUCC